Molecule: long non-coding RNA, 2133 nt
Organism: Helianthus annuus (common sunflower)
Lineage: Eukaryota; Viridiplantae; Streptophyta; Magnoliopsida; Asterales; Asteraceae
Exons: 5
Source: RefSeq, a predicted model, not a curated record
AAAAUUCUAAUUUCCCUCUCCUUUCUCUUGUAUCUCUCUCCUAAAACAUGUUCGUUUUUACUUUUCCCCAUAUUUUCCUUUAACCCUAAAUGGAUUACCCUCCCAAAAUUCAUCCCCAGAUCUCGUACUGAUACUCCCUCUUCUCUUUUUGUUUAAUCAGCUUGUUUUGGCAUUACGAUAAAGAGAGAAACAAACCGGACAUGCAGCAUCUCCAUUGAAUCCAUCUAAUCUCUCCUCUGAUUGAAUGCGAACCGAAGGAAGAGGAACAUAAAUCGGAAGCCAUCCGAUUCUAGACCUUAAUCGGAGCUCUGAAAACCAAUUAAGGACUGACGUGAUUAAGUGAAGGUUGAAUGUGAUGGUGUCGUGAAGGGGGGUGUUCCGGGGAGGUGGUUGUUGAUGAUGGGUAAGAGUUGCAGAAAAGAUGGAGGAAGCAACGGAGAUUUGAGGAGGCGAUCCGGUUCCAGGCAUUCCGCGUGAUGUUGUGAGUAUGAAACUGUGGUCAGCAGGGCCGGUGGUGGUCAACGAGCUAUUGAGUAGGCCACAACAGCUUAAUCAGCAAGGUCGUGCACUGGGAUAGCAAUAGAAGUAGCAACACUUGCAAGUAUUAACUUUAAAGAUACUUUAAAUGAGUGGCAUGACAAAGUUGGUGAGGUGACUGUGGAUCAAUAGUAAGUCCUAUGGAAAAGUAGUAAAUCUCAAAACAUAAACUUGUAUUUGUUUGAAAUAAGUUGUUAUACCUGGUCACAAUUGCCUCUUUGGGUGGAACUUUAAUGGUCUAAUGUUUUUACAUUUUUUUAUCAUUCAGGUCGCAUCUUGUUAUAUCCAGUCACAAAUGCCUCUUUGGGUGGAACUUUAGUUUAAUGGUCAAUGUUCUUACAUUUUUUUAUCAUUCAGGCCACGUCUUGUCACUGCCUCUGCUCACGUAGCAGCUGCAAACCCACCCAGUAUGGAUUUGGACCUACAUGUUGUUCCUAACUUAACAUUUAGGUCAUGCCUUGUUGCUGCUACGGAUGUUGUAUGCUUUGAUGUGGAUAACAUCGUGUGUAUGGAUGAAGACAUUGCUGGAAAAGCUGUUGUUGAGUGGACUGCAAGGUGUGCAUGGUAUUAAGAUGGUUUUCUGCUUUUAGUUUAUUUUUAUAUUAAAUUAAUUGUGCACGUGUUGAGCAAUGGGUGGUUCAGUCCCUUUUCCGGAAGUUUUAGCUGCCAGACUUGAUCUUUUCAAACCUUCAUCAUCAACAGUCUUGAGAAGCGACCCCCCAGGCUUCCUUUUGGCAUAAAGGAAUUGGUGGUUAUUUGAUAUCUGGAGGGUUUUGUCAAAUGAUCAAUGCGGUAAUUGCUGUUGGAGUUUUUCUACAAGGGCUGGGGGAUGAAUACUAUAAGGUACUACUGUUGCAAUGCAUUUCUUAUAUUAAUUCUUAUCCAUAUACUUAGGAAUGGGUCUAUUCGGGUUAUGUUUAAUCUAAAAUGGGAAAAUUUAAACAAAUCAUUCAUAAAUGAAUCAAAUCAAAUGGCCAAACAACUAGAUAUUAAUUUUCUUUUCUUUUACUGAUUUUUGAGUGACGUGAGUCCCCUGCAAUUAACUUAUUUGAAUCGUAUUGUAAUGCAACCAUGCAUACUUAUUUUGUAGAGGCGUUGUUUAUAUGAUAAUCAUGAUGUGGUCAGUGGUACACUUCGUUUUUUUUUUAUUUAUACCCAGCAUCCUCUAUCUCUCAAAAAGAAGGAAGUAAUUGACCCGACACACAAAGUGUUGAACCCGACCCAAGCCGUACUAGAAACUGUCCGGUUGACAUUAUGUGCAGGUUUGUGACAUGAAUACAUAUAUAUAUAUAUACGUGGAGGUGAUGGUUUCAUUGAUGGGCUAAGAGACAUCAGAAUUUGCCAUUGGUUACUCACUAUCACAACAGCAGCAAGGUAGCCACCAACCAAUAGAUGCAAAUUUGCAUCAUUUUCAAGUUCAAAAGCAGUGAGUAUAUACGGACUUGAAGAAACAACCUAGAAAUAGCUUUUAGUUUUUGUGUACAUUUGUUUCCAUUUGCAACUAUUGUAGAUAGGUUUCGAUUAGAAGUUUAUGCCUUGCAUUAGUAUGUAAAUUGAAAACUUAUGUAUGGAUAAAAUGGGUAAUUACAUGAAAAU